Molecule: long non-coding RNA, 380 nt
Organism: Clupea harengus (Atlantic herring)
Lineage: Eukaryota; Metazoa; Chordata; Actinopteri; Clupeiformes; Clupeidae
Source: Ensembl
CUGCCCUGUGAAACACUGUGAGGAGCCACCCAUUAUCACAUGGUGCAAACUGAUGGACGUGGAGAACUGCAGAUCACUGACUGAAAAUCCUAAUGUUAGAAUAUGGCAGCAGAUGCCAACCAGGACUGAAGAAAAUCUCAUUACAUCCUAUAUGCAGAUCAAAAACAUAACAAAGAAUGACGCUGGUUUAUAUAGAUGUAGUGCUUCUGACACCACUGCUGGACAUUCAAUCCGUGUUAAUGUCACUGGUGUUGACCAACUGGAAAACACAACCUACAACACAGGUACUACUGAUCCAGACCAGGAGUGGCUCUCUUAUGUGUACAUCUGUGGGGGCAUAGUGACUCUUGUCUUUCUGGUGGUCCUGAUCUCCUUCCUGA